This is a long non-coding RNA of Mercurialis annua (annual mercury), 1015 nucleotides long. RefSeq lists it as uncharacterized. The transcript is spliced from 3 exons. Lineage: Eukaryota; Viridiplantae; Streptophyta; Magnoliopsida; Malpighiales; Euphorbiaceae. The record is from RefSeq and is a predicted model, not a curated record.
GGACAUCGGAAUUAAGUUCGAGAAAUAAGAAUUUAGACCGAAGCGGGUCUAUUAAAAUUAUCGUAAAAUAAUAAAUUAAGUGGAAUUUAUUAUUUGAUAAAUUGGAAUUUAGCGGGACUAAGAAAAGUAAAUAAAUUAAAAUAAAAUAAAUGGUAAGUCCCGAGUUAAUUUUACGAUAAAGUUCGUAAAAUAAAUUAUUUGGACCUAGAUAAAUAAAUAAUGUGAUGGAGCCAUUAUUUAUCAAUAAAGAAUAAUCGUCAAGGUUCUUUUUAAUUACGACAACAUUUUAGACUUUAAUUGAAAAAUUUAAAAGUUGAAGGAUUUAGUGGGAAGAGGUGCCAAAUCUAAGUAUUUAUAUAGAUUUUUUCCCCAUAAAACCAAUAGGAAAAAGGCACCUAAACCUCCACCUCUUCAAGAAUACUCUAGCUCAAAUAAGAUUAGAAUUGGAAAAUAGAAACAAAACCCAUCUUCUUCUCCUCCACCGAAAACCCCAUCACCAUCUUCAUCAACUUGGAGCUCUCACCACGGUGGCAUCAAUAUCUUCACAAUCCGGCCACCAAAUCCAGCGAUUCAAGGUCGGUUGGAGAGCUAACACACACACGAAUAAGACUCGACGAGGCGACUAUUAAGGGGGCGCAAAACGUAAAGAACGCAACAGGGCUUUGCUAUGGCCGAAGUCUUUGGAUAGCAAUUAUGUUAUGUUUCAGGUGUAUAGUAUCAGAUGUAACGGACUUCUAUCCUUGUUCCAGAAGUCCGCGAAUACAGAAAGAAGGAAUAAAUCAGUAGUGCUGCAGUAGUCGAGUCCUAGAGUGUAAUUAUGUUUUGUCAAACGGUUUUAUAUAUGUUGUUUAUACUCUGACAUGUAUAAAGGUUUUAAACUGCGCUUUUAAACCGUUUAUAUAUAUAUAUGUGAGAAACAGGGCAUUGCUUGAUAUGAGAUAUCGCUUUGUAAGACCCUGAUUUCUAAAGAUCGUUUUGUAUCGUUUAAAGAAGUUUUAUAAAAACGUUUUGAGAA